RNAcentral lists this ribosomal RNA (466 nucleotides) under uncultured bacterium. Its description in RNAcentral is "partial 16S ribosomal RNA". It matches the Rfam family "Bacterial small subunit ribosomal RNA", at positions 339 to 795 of the family's 1533-position model. The record is from RNAcentral.
CUACGGGGGGCACCAGUGGGGAAUAUUGGACAAUGGGGGAAACCCUGAUCCAGCAAUGCCGCGUGUGUGAAGAAGGCCUGCGGGUUGUAAAGCACUUUCGGUUGGGAAGACUGCUUCUAGCACUAAUAUUGUUGGAAGUUGACGUUACCUUCAGAAGAAGCACCGGCUAACUCCGUGCCAGCAGCCGCGGUAAUACGGAGGGUGCAAGUGUGUAAUCGGAAUUACUGGGCGUAAAGCGCGCGUAGGCGGCUAGAUCAGUCGGGUGUGAAAGCCCCGGGCUUAACCUGGGAACUGCAUCCGAUACUGUCUAGCUUGAGUACAGGAGAGGAGAGUGGAAUUCCACAUGUAGCGGUGAAAUGCGUAGAUAUGUGGAGGAACACCAAUGGCGAAGGCAGCUCUCUGGCCUGAUACUGACGCUGAGGUGCGAAAGCGUGGGGAGCAAACAGGAUUAGAUACCCUCGUAGUC